UCAUAUAGUUACGACCGACCACAAAGUGAAUAGGGGCUUAGUCGUAUCAUUUACAUACGACAGAUCAUACAAUAAAAAACGUGAAAGUCGUAUCAUGAAGAUAAAAAAGACCACACAGUGAAUAGCUUUAAAGUUGUAUCAUUUACAUACUACAGACCACAAAGUGAAUAGCGGAGUAGUGGUAUCAUGGAGAUACGAAAUAGCACACAGUGAAUAGCUUGGAAAUCGUAUCAUUUAGUUACUACAUACCACAAAGUGAAUAGCGGAGUAGUCGUUUCAUACAGAUAAGAAAUACCACAAAGUUAAUAGCGAGGUAGUUGUAUCUUUUAGAUACAACAUAAAACACAGUGGAUAGCUUAUCAUGGAGAUACGAUAUGCCAAAAAGUGAAAAGCGGGGUAUUCUUAUACUAUUAUAGUAUAUGUAAUGUAUAGUAUACAUUAAGUUACGACCCACCACAAAGUUAAUAGCGGCUUAGUCGUAAAGUUUCGAUACGACGGAUCAUACUGUGAAAAGAGGAGAAUUCAUAUCAUGGGGAUACGAAAUACCACACACUGAAUAUAUCGGAGACAGCGUAUCAUUUAGAUACGACUGACCACACAGUGAAUAGCGGAUAAGUCGUAUCAUGGAGAUACGAAAUACCACACAGUGAAUAGCUUGGAAAUCGUAUCAUUUAGUUAUGGCGAUACGACACACUAACAAAUGAAAAGCGGGGAAUUCGUAUCAUAUAUUUACGACCGACCACAAAGUGAAUAGCGGCUUAGUCAUAUCAUUUAGAUACGACGGGCCAUACAAUGAAAAGCGGGGAAGUCGUUUCAUGGAGAUACGAACUACCACACAGUGAAUAGCGGUGAAGUCGUUUCAUGCAGAUACGAAAUACCAUAAAGACAUUGCAACUUGUUAAUGUAAAUGCAGGGCUCUUCGAAAGCGAUCAGUGGGAUAUACGUAUCAUUGAGAUCCCACAGACCACAAUGUGAAUAGCUGGACACCUCAUUUUCUUAGCGUCACAUCUUUGUAAAUGACUCCAUCUCUUUUCAAAUGAUGCAAAACUAUUAUUCGAUCGGCAAGCCAAUGUUUUGUUCAUGCAGCAACUUGUAUAUGUUGCAAGCAAUCGAUGAUGUAACGGUAGCGAUACAAUUUGGUGGAAAUUUGCUCUUCAAACAGGUACAAAAACAUCGAUUUGCUUUUAAAAGUUCAACCAUGUCACAAAGUUUCCAAAUGGGUUGUGAGUAUAUGUUUCUGCACAGUUGUGGAUAAAUUAUUUUGCGUCAAAUCGAACAUAAUUUCCCGAUUUUAACAAAUGCGAAACAUGUUGAAUAAACCCAUAUCAAACAUUCUCAUCCUGUAGAUUUCACCAUAUAUUUUGGAAACUUAGGUUCUUAUCGCCAUCUAAAACGUAUCAUUGACCCGUUCAUUGUUGCAUCUAAAACAAAAGCGAUGUCAGUGAUAAACGACCGUGAAAUGACAUUGAUACCAAUACAUGUAUCUGAUAAAAGUAUUAUAUUCAGUCUGAGGUUUGUUGUAAGAUGGAAAUAGCGGUGUAUUCGUUUAAUCGAGGUUUUCAACCACAUAAUCGAAAAUAAUAAAAAAAAAACUGUUUUAAAAAUUGCUCUUUAUAAGGGGAUAGUCAUAAUAUUGGUGUGGUUAAAACAGGAGAUUUCGAUGAAAUAACAAAGCAUUGAAAACAAAUAUGUAGUUUAGACGGGAUGCUCAUACAUUUGAGUAGAGUACAAUUGUAGUCUGUCUAUCAAACGGAAAUAUUAUUGUUGUAGCUUUGGUAUCACAUAUUUCGAGUAUUUUUGUAAGCGUUCUUUAUAAGGGGAUGGUAUUAUUUUUGAUGUGGGUAAUCAGGGUAUUUCCGUUAAAUAACAAAGCAUUUUAAACGCCUCUGUAUUUUGGACCGGAUGUACAUACAUUUGUAUAGAGUUAUAUUGUACUGUGUCUAUCAAAGGGAGACAUUAUCGUUGUAGCUUUCGUAUAGCAUCUUUCUAGACCACGACUUGCAAGGCUUACUGUCAUACUCCCGACAAAUCAAAAGACAGCCGUCAUGGGUGUGGUGAGAGUAAUUACAUACGUUACAAGUGAUCCUCGGUUGCCAUCGCUAUAGUCGGUGAAAAAUAGUGAAACAGGGUUAUCCGUCGCAUCUGUUUCCGGUCACUUGUCGAUUAUUAAGUAUUCACCAAAGUAUUUCCGCAACUAGAUAAGUAGAUAAAGCUUUGCUUAACAUCUCUUAAUUAAAGUUUAAGAUAGUAUGACUACUACCGAAUGAAUGGUGACAGUCGACGAUAACACAUUAUUUAUAUUCUCAUCCGGUUUGUUUUAAAAUUUCAUAAAAGGGCAUAACCUCUCAUAUGACGGAUGGAUUCUCCAACAACUACUAUUAUGUCAUGAGAAAAUAAAAUAUUCACCACCGCCUUGUUUGCCAACAACGUCUUUACAAGGAAUGUCCAGCAGUGAAGGACAGAGGCCGGUCACUCCCAUUAUAAAAGACAUUAAGUCCAGCUGAAGAGACAUUCCAAAGACAGUUCAUAUGACAAAAUGCAGUUACACAGAUUUUAACUGUGUUGGAAACAAUGAGGGAGGAGAACAGGGAUAUGAAGCGGAUGCUGCAACGGCUCUUGGCUAUGUCAGCUACUGAUGACCAGCCAGUGCAACUGCCAGAGAACAUCAUUCUUCCAAUCGGAACAUUAGAGCAAAUGAACGAGUUUUAAGAGCAUCUUGGUGAUGAAGCUACGAUCCAUCUUUUCUAGGACUGCUGUAUAGUUCAAGCUUUUUAUCAAAUAUAUUAAGCAAUGUUGUGAAUGUAAUUGACAGUUCUUUCUCGAUUUAUCCUAAACCAUUUCUUUAAGGCUCAUCUUCUAAGAAAGCAUACAAUCUUUUUAAUCUGGAAAUGAAACGGUAUAUAUUCCUUUGCAAAAGAAGAAACAGCAUUCCAGUUUUCGAAGGUUUUA
Dreissena polymorpha is the source of this 2949-nucleotide long non-coding RNA. RefSeq lists it as uncharacterized. The transcript has 3 exons. Lineage: Eukaryota; Metazoa; Mollusca; Bivalvia; Myida; Dreissenidae. The record is from RefSeq and is a predicted model, not a curated record.